This 468-nucleotide ribosomal RNA is filed under the name uncultured bacterium. RNAcentral describes it as "partial 16S ribosomal RNA". It matches the Rfam family "Bacterial small subunit ribosomal RNA", at positions 28 to 507 of the family's 1533-position model. The record is from RNAcentral.
GAUGAACGCUGGCGGCGUGCUUAACACAUGCAAGUCGAACGGAAAGGCCCUGCUUUUGUGGGGUGCUCGAGUGGCGAACGGGUGAGUAACACGUGAGUAACCUGCCCUUGACUUUGGGAUAACUUCAGGAAACUGGGGCUAAUACCGGAUAGGAGCUCCUGCUGCAUGGUGGGGGUUGGAAAGUUUCGGCGGUUGGGGAUGGACUCGCGGCUUAUCAGCUUGUUGGUGGGGUAGUGGCUGACCAAGGCUUCGACGGGUAGCCGGCCUGAGAGGGUGGACGGGGACAAUAGGACUGAGGUACGGCGCAGUCGGCUACGGGAGGCAACAGUGGGGAGUAUGGCACAGUGGGCGGGAGCGUGAUGCGGCGGCGCCGGGUGCGGGAUGACGGCCUUCGGGUUGUGAACCGCUUUCGCCUGAGACGAAGCGUGAGUGACGGUAAUGGGUAAAGAAGCACCGGCUAACUACGUG